GGGCCUGUAAUCUAGUCUGGAUAGGGUACCCGGCUUCGGACCCGACGUCGCAGGUUCGAAUCCUGCCAGGCCCA
Molecule: transfer RNA, 74 nt
Filed under: Promethearchaeota archaeon
Lineage: Archaea; Promethearchaeati; Promethearchaeota
Description: Candidatus Lokiarchaeota archaeon tRNA-Arg
Rfam family: tRNA
About the family: Transfer RNA (tRNA) molecules are approximately 80 nucleotides in length. Their secondary structure includes four short double-helical elements and three loops (D, anti-codon, and T loops). Further hydrogen bonds mediate the characteristic L-shaped molecular structure. tRNAs have two regions of fundamental functional importance: the anti-codon, which is responsible for specific mRNA codon recognition, and the 3' end, to which the tRNAs corresponding amino acid is attached (by aminoacyl-tRNA synthetases). tRNAs cope with the degeneracy of the genetic code in two manners: having more than one tRNA (with a specific anti-codon) for a particular amino acid; and 'wobble' base-pairing, i.e. permitting non-standard base-pairing at the 3rd anti-codon position.
Source: RNAcentral